AAAAGAAGACCUCCUAAACACGUGAUUUUGAAGUGCGGAAGUAAAGUUGUGAUUUCGGGAAAACGUAAGUGAAGAUUUGUUUUUCACGGGUGGAAAACAUUGGAAAAUAGCUAACCUAUAGAAUACAUUAUGGAUGACGAGGAGGAGACCUACAGACUAUGGAAAAUCCGCAAAACAAUCAUGCAGUAGUUGUGCCACGACAGGGGCUACCUUGUGACGCAGGAUGAGUUGGACCAGACUCUGGACGAGUUCAAGAGCCAGUUUGGGGACAAGCCGAGUGAAGGGCGCCCACGGCGGACAGAUCUCACUGUGCUGGUCGCCCACAACGAUGACCCAACCGACCAGAUGUUCGUCUUCUUUCCAGAGGAGCCCAAGGUAGGAAUCAAGACUAUAAAGAUGUACUGCCAGCGCAUGCAGGAGGAGAAUAUCACACGUGCCUGCAUCGUGGUCCAGAUGGGGAUGACGCCUUCCGCCAAACAGUCGCUAGUGGACAUGGCACCCAAAUACAUCCUGGAGCAGUUUCUACCACAGGAGCUCCUCAUCAACAUCACAGAGCAUGAGAACAUUUCACCCAGGAUAAAGGUGCAAGAGUGCCAAUUAUUUGGCUGCAAACUAUAACCUGCACACACAGUAUCUUGCCUAAAGGGGACUUUGAGCGUGUUCGAGUUGGCUUACUAAAGCAGAUGAGAACAGAUGGAAGUCGAGGAUUGCGGUUGGGGGAGCUGGUUCCUGAGCACAUAGUGAUGACAAAAGAAGAACUGUCAGAGUUGCUGCUUCGAUAUAAACUGAAGGAGAGCCAGCUACCCAGGAUUCAAGCUGGAGACCCUGUGGCCAGAUACUUUGGACUGAAAAGAGGACAGGUAGUGAAGAUCAUCAGACCUAGUGAGACUGCUGGUAGAUACAUCACCUACAGACUGGUGCAGUAAACACACACCAGCUCUAUUAUGGACCAGAAGGAGUAUGAGAUCUGAUGAUUGCGGACAGGGAAUGACUGAAGAUGUUUCAUCUGAAGAAGAAAGAACAUGCUCUCAUCACUUUGUCUCCCAAUAACUUUUGUGAAUAAGUUGACUUGCUUACCUUUUGGCACUACUAGUUUUUAUCAAUGUGCUUGAGGUGAUAACCUCUGCAUUUGUUGGAUUUAAAAAAAAAAAUAAGCAUUUUUAAUUUCAACGGGCAAAUGAUUUAUUUCAGAAGAAAUAAAUCCAACUGUUUUUAAUGUCGAA
RNA transcript from Oncorhynchus kisutch (coho salmon), 1223 nucleotides. It is a transcript of the gene named DNA-directed RNA polymerases I, II, and III subunit RPABC1, with no coding region annotated. The transcript is spliced from 8 exons. The record is from RefSeq and is a predicted model, not a curated record. Lineage: Eukaryota; Metazoa; Chordata; Actinopteri; Salmoniformes; Salmonidae.